UACAGAGGGUGCGAGCGUUAAUCGGAAUUACUGGGCGUAAAGCGCACGUAGUCGGCUUGUCAAGUCGGGUGUGAAAUCCCCGGGCUCAACCUGGGAACUGCAUCCGAAACUGACUUGCUAGAGUAUGGGAGAGGGAAGCGGAAUUUCUGGUGUAGCAGUGAAAUGCGUAGAUAUCAGAAGGAACAUCAGUGGCGAAGGCGGCUUCCUGGACCAAUACUGACGAUCAGGUGCGAAAGCGUGGGGAGCAAACAGG
Molecule: ribosomal RNA, 253 nt
Filed under: uncultured bacterium
Lineage: Bacteria
Description: partial 16S ribosomal RNA
Rfam family: Bacterial small subunit ribosomal RNA
Source: RNAcentral